RNAcentral lists this ribosomal RNA (1358 nucleotides) under uncultured bacterium. Its description in RNAcentral is "bacterial SSU rRNA". It matches the Rfam family "Bacterial small subunit ribosomal RNA", at positions 28 to 1381 of the family's 1533-position model. The record is from RNAcentral.
GAUGAACGCUAGCUACAGGCUUAACACAUGCAAGUCGAGGGGCAGCAUGGUCUUAGCUUGCUAAGGCCGAUGGCGACCGGCGCACGGGUGAGUAACACGUAUCCAACCUGCCGUCUACUCUUGGACAGCCUUCUGAAAGGAAGAUUAAUACAAGAUGGCAUCAUGAGUCCGCAUGUUCACAUGAUUAAAGGUAUUCCGGUAGACGAUGGGGAUGCGUUCCAUUAGAUAGUAGGCGGGGUAACGGCCCACCUAGUCUUCGAUGGAUAGGGGUUCUGAGAGGAAGGUCCCCCACAUUGGAACUGAGACACGGUCCAAACUCCUACGGGAGGCAGCAGUGAGGAAUAUUGGUCAAUGGGCGAGAGCCUGAACCAGCCAAGCAGCGUGAAGGAUGACUGCCCUAUGGGUUGUAAACUUCUUUUAUAAAGGAAUAAAGUCGGGUAUGCAUACCCGUUUGCAUGUACUUUAUGAAUAAGGAUCGGCUAACUCCGUGCCAGCAGCCGCGGUAAUACGGAGGAUCCGAGCGUUAUCCGGAUUUAUUGGGUUUAAAGGGAGCGUAGAUGGAUGUUUAAGUCAGUUGUGAAAGUUUGCGGCUCAACCGUAAAAUUGCAGUUGAUACUGGAUAUCUUGAGUGCAGUUGAGGCAGGCGGAAUUCGUGGUGUAGCGGUGAAAUGCUUAGAUAUCACGAAGAACUCCGAUUGCGAAGGCAGCCUGCUAAGCUGCAACUGACAUUGAGGCUCGAAAGUGUGGGUAUCAAACAGGAUUAGAUACCCUGGUAGUCCACACGGUAAACGAUGAAUACUCGCUGUUUGCGAUAUACAGCAAGCGGCCAAGCGAAAGCGUUAAGUAUUCCACCUGGGGAGUACGCCGGCAACGGUGAAACUCAAAGGAAUUGACGGGGGCCCGCACAAGCGGAGGAACAUGUGGUUUAAUUCGAUGAUACGCGAGGAACCUUACCCGGGCUUAAAUUGCAGAUGAAUUACGGUGAAAGCCGUAAGCCGCAAGGCAUCUGUGAAGGUGCUGCAUGGUUGUCGUCAGCUCGUGCCGUGAGGUGUCGGCUUAAGUGCCAUAACGAGCGCAACCCUUGUUGUCAGUUACUAACAGGUUCCGCUGAGGACUCUGACAAGACUGCCAUCGUAAGAUGUGAGGAAGGUGGGGAUGACGUCAAAUCAGCACGGCCCUUACGUCCGGGGCUACACACGUGUUACAAUGGGGGGUACAGAGGGCCGCUACCACGCGAGUGGAUGCCAAUCCCAAAAACCUCUCUCAGUUCGGACUGGAGUCUGCAACCCGACUCCACGAAGCUGGAUUCGCUAGUAAUCGCGCAUCAGCCACGGCGCGGUGAAUACGUUCCCGGGCCU